CAGCGCCCCUUCCUCCACCCACUCAGCUGCGACGUGGCAGCCGAGCGUGGGCCCUGGGGCGACGC
RNAcentral lists this microRNA precursor (65 nucleotides) under Oryza meridionalis. RNAcentral's name for it is "pre miRNA MIR2907". It matches the Rfam family "MIR2907 microRNA precursor family". The record is from RNAcentral. Lineage: Eukaryota; Viridiplantae; Streptophyta; Magnoliopsida; Poales; Poaceae.